GUAAUGCCGGAUGCUCCAGUUGAUCGCAUGGUCUUCUGGGAAAGCUUUCGCGGUAUGGGAUGGGGUCGCGUCCUAUCAGCUUGACGGCGGGGUAACGGCCCACCGUGGCUUCGACGGGUAGCCGGCCUGAGAGGGCGACCGGCCACAUUGGGACUGAGAUACGGCCCAGACUCCUACGGGAGGCAGCAGUGGGGAAUAUUGCACAAUGGGCGCAAGCCUGAUGCAGCGACGCCGCGUGAGGGAUGGAGGCCUUCGGGUUGUAAACCUCUUUUAUCGGGGAGCAAGCGAGAGUGAGUUUACCCGUUGAAUAAGCACCGGCUAACUACGUGCCAGCAGCCGCGGUAAUACGUAGGGUGCAAGCGUUAUCCGGAAUUAUUGGGCGUAAAGGGCUCGUAGGCGGUUCGUCGCGUCCGGUGUGAAAGUCCAUCGCUUAACGGUGGAUCCGCGCCGGGUACGGGCGGGCUUGAGUGCGGUAGGGGAGACUGGAAUUCCCGGUGUAACGGUGGAAUGUGUAGAUAUCGGAAAAGAA
This 529-nucleotide ribosomal RNA is filed under the name Bifidobacterium longum subsp. suillum. RNAcentral's name for it is "bacterial SSU rRNA". It matches the Rfam family "Bacterial small subunit ribosomal RNA", at positions 163 to 706 of the family's 1533-position model. Lineage: Bacteria; Bacillati; Actinomycetota; Actinomycetes; Bifidobacteriales; Bifidobacteriaceae. The record is from RNAcentral.